This is a non-coding RNA of Spinacia oleracea (spinach), 163 nucleotides long. The record is from Rfam. NCBI's taxonomy places the organism in Eukaryota, Viridiplantae, Streptophyta, Magnoliopsida, Caryophyllales, Amaranthaceae.
UCACUUACCUGGACGGGGUCAAUGGGCGAUCAAUAAGGCCCAUGGCCUAGGUUGGUGGCCUCCAUUGCACAUACCGGAGGGGUGCCUGCCUAACGUCUCCCCAAGUGGGAGAGCGUACGUCAUAAUUUGUGAUAGUGGGGGCCUGCGUCCGCGCGGCCCCUGU